This 491-nucleotide ribosomal RNA is filed under the name uncultured bacterium. RNAcentral's name for it is "partial 16S ribosomal RNA". It matches the Rfam family "Bacterial small subunit ribosomal RNA", at positions 29 to 507 of the family's 1533-position model. The record is from RNAcentral.
GUGAACGCUGGCGGUAGGCCUAACACAUGCAAGUCGAACGGCAGCACAGUAAGAGCUUGCUCUUACGGGUGGCGAGUGGCGGACGGGUGAGGAAUACAUCGGAAUCUACUUUUUCGUGGGGGAUAACGUAGGGAAACUUACGCUAAUACCGCAUACGACCUACGGGUGAAAGCAGGGGAUCUUCGGACCUUGCGCGAUUGAAUGAGCCGAUGUCGGAUUAGCUAGUUGGCGGGGUAAAGGCCUACCAAGGCGACGAUCCGUAGCUGGUCUGAGAGGAUGAUCAGCCACACUGGAACUGAGACACGGUCCAGACUCCUACGGGAGGCAGCAGUGGGGAAUAUUGGACAAAGGGCGCAAGCCUGAUCCAGCCAUACCGCGUGGGUGAAGAAGGCCUUCGGGUUGUAAAGCCCUUUUGUUGGGAAAGAAAAGCAGCAGGUUAAUACCCCGCUGUUCUGACGGUACCCAAAGAAUAAGCACCGGCUAACUUCGUG